CCGGCUGAGCUGGGGCUGUGUGGGGCUGGGGCUGGGUCCCGGGGACGAGGACACAGGACUGCCUGUGCCUGGGCGAGCUCGGCCUCAGUACCUCCCUCAGGGCCGGACACAGAGGCUCGGAGGCCACACGACCUGUCCAGGUAGCCAGGGAGAAGGCAGGGUGCCAGGCAGGCCUGUGGGUGCUCAGCAGCUGUCUUCCAGCGCACGCUGUCUCCCCCUCUGUCUCUGUCUCUGUCUCUCUGUCUCCCAGGCCUCAUGGAGGUCCUUCCGGAGCGCUGUGUGCAGAUCGCCAAGCGGGAGCUGCUCUUCCUGGGGCCCGUGGGCCUCAUCAUGUACCUCGGGGGCGUCUUCUUCAUCAACCGGCAGCGCUCUAGCACUGCCAUGACAGUGAUGGCCGACCUGGGCGAGCGCAUGGUCAGGGAGAACCUCAAAGUGUGGAUCUAUCCCGAGGGUACUCGCAACGACAAUGGGGACCUGCUGCCUUUUAAGAAGGGCGCCUUCUACCUGGCAGUCCAGGCACAGGUGCCCAUCGUCCCCGUGGUGUACUCCUCCUUCUCCUCCUUCUACAACACCAGGAAGAAGUUCUUCACUUCAGGAACAGUCACAGUGCAGGUGCUGGAAGCCAUCCCCACCAGCGGCCUCACUGUGGCGGACGUCCCUGCGCUCGUGGACACCUGCCACCGGGCCAUGAGGACCACCUUCCUCCACAUCUCCAAGACCCCCCAGGAGAACGGGGCCACUGCGGGGUCUGGCGUGCAGCCGGCCCAGUAGCCCAGACCACGGCAGGGCAUGACCUGGGGAGGGCAGGUGGAAG
RNAcentral lists this small RNA (814 nucleotides) under Pan troglodytes (chimpanzee). RNAcentral's name for it is "retained intron". The record is from RNAcentral. Lineage: Eukaryota; Metazoa; Chordata; Mammalia; Primates; Hominidae.